CAUUAUAUUAGAAUAAAGUUAUGAGUUUUCUGUGAAAUACGGUUCUUAGCUCUGUCAUCCCUCCGUCCCUCAUUGUGAAGUUCAAUCUCCUUCGGAUCCUGACAACCACCUCGUGCAUACUCAAUGAGCUAUUUUACAAUGCUAAAGGACUAAUUAAAGAUUCCUGUGGACAUCCUCUCUGCACUACACUGGUGUAUGUGUCAAACUUGUUAUUAACCUACAUUUUACGUUUGAUAAAAUAACUUUUAAUAAUCUCAAUUAAAUUUGAACUGCAUCUUGCCUGAGUUAAACGCGCAACGACACCGAGAAUCUACAGUUGUCAAAAGUUGUUCUGUAUAUAUCCACAAAUACGCUCCACAAGACCUUAACUAUUUUCGGAUUGAAGCCAUCCAAGUCAGGAGCUUUCUUAUCCUUAAUUCUCUGAAUAGCGUUAUUUUCUUCAGCUAUACUGUCAUUGGGAGUAAACUUCUCAAACAAAAGUUUAACAGAUUCCGUCCGUGAGGUAGUUUUGCUGUCAAUUAGAGAGGAUCAAAGCCCCCAUAUAGGAAUGCCAGUCUUUGCAAUAGCACCAAUACUUAGCCCGAUAUAUGGUAGCCAAUAAUUGGCCAAUACUUGGUAUUCUAUUCUGGACCAUGUCUGGCGUAUACUGGAUACCAUUGAUUUCCACAACUUGACAUAACCUUGUCGUUAUGUCAACUUCUUCGGUCACUAGAUGUCGCGUUUCUAACUCUAUUGUACAGUAUAUACAGUAGCGCAACUCUGUGUCGGCCAUGGAGGACCUGGAGAGAGCAUUAAGAGGAUGCUGGAGUGC
Non-coding RNA from Linepithema humile (Argentine ant), 811 nucleotides. The record is from RefSeq and is a predicted model, not a curated record. NCBI's taxonomy places the organism in Eukaryota, Metazoa, Arthropoda, Insecta, Hymenoptera, Formicidae.